This 182-nucleotide unclassified non-coding RNA is filed under the name fungal sp. Its description in RNAcentral is "partial internal transcribed spacer region". The stretch from base 1 to 46 matches the Rfam family "Eukaryotic small subunit ribosomal RNA", at positions 1786 to 1831 of the family's 1831-position model. The record is from RNAcentral. Lineage: Eukaryota; Fungi.
AAGUCGUAACAAGGUUUCCGUAGGUGAACCUGCGGAAGGAUCAUUAAUAAAUGCUUCAUUGCAUCCACCUUUUGUGCACCGUAAAUAUUUUCUACCUUAAAUUUUGUCUGAUAAAUCCUUGUUUCGAAAGAAACAUUGUGAAAAUUGGAAUACAACUUUUAACAAUGGAUCUCUUGGCUCUC